Gadus morhua (Atlantic cod) is the source of this 288-nucleotide long non-coding RNA. RefSeq lists it as uncharacterized. NCBI's taxonomy places the organism in Eukaryota, Metazoa, Chordata, Actinopteri, Gadiformes, Gadidae. The transcript has 2 exons. The record is from RefSeq and is a predicted model, not a curated record.
GUUUGGUUUGCCUGUUCUCUCUCUCUUUCUUAAUAGGUGAUGCAGUUCAGGUGUGCCGGUGUUGGCAGCAGGUUAAAAGCCUGCUUUCACAACAGUCAUGGUCGCUCCCUCCUCCCGGCGUGUUGGUUUUCUUUGUCCUUUGUUUGGUUUCACACAGACUGACUUUUGCAUGACACUUUGGGUUACUUUACAUUUAACUGAUUUACACCACACUUCUUUAUCUUUAUUCUAUUUAAUUAUAUGUAAAAUUAUCUUCUUACUAUAAUAAAAUCUUUUAUUAUUGUAAAA